GUGUAUAAUGUGUUCCUGUUGACUGUCUUGAUCCAUAGAGAGAGGCUUUUGCAUAUCUGAAGAAACAAUUUGGAGUCAUACAAUGCAAGGUAUCCUGUUUCAAAGUGAAGAAAGAAUGCAGAAGUUUAGUUUGGUGUGAGCCUACUGAGAAAUCAAGACCCUCUCCUUUUCUUUCCUUCUUGCUGAAUUAAGGGCAAACUAUUUUUGCACUUUGAACUCAGCUUGCAGCAACUGGAGUAACCAGGUCACAGCCAGGUCUCGCUAAAAUUCAUCGAACGCAGUCGCAGAGGGGCAGCUGGUGGUCUCUAAAGCACAUGGCAAGAGACUCAAUUCCACCCUCAUCAGAGAGUCUGGAAUAAGUUACUCUUUUUGGAACGACCUUUGAUCUAGCCGCGAUGCCGCCUGGAGAGUUUCCAACUUUACAAAAUGGCCGGCUGCACGAGGCUUCGACCCGGGAUGCACCAGGCAGCGGCAUCAUGACCAUAUCGGCAGCAAUUUAAGUCUGAUAACAUCCAGGGACAUCCCAGAUCCUGAACUGAAGGUGGAAGAGAUAAAACAAAUUAUUUCUUCAUGUGAUAAGAACCUUAGUCUGUUUCCUAGUUGAUUAUUUUUAAUAAUGUAAUUCUGUUUCUCACUUGAUCUGUAAAUUCUUUUGAGAUGUUCUGCAGAUCGUAUUUUGGCAUGAUGUGACCAUUCUAUAAACAGGGGCUCUCAUUUCCUACUUUUAAGCCAUACACAUGAGACAACAGAAGAAGAAGAAUUUGCUGAAGCAGCUAAAACCAGACCAUAUAAGGGGAAAACCAACAGCCACCUGGUGCUGAAGAUCCAUCUGGAAUUGAUGAGCCAGACAUUGGAGAGGAAAAACAAGCUACAGUAUAGAGAAAUAUAGAUAAGAGCAAAGGAGGAAAUUUCACGGUCAGCGUGACCCUCAGUAUAUCACAGCUACAUACCAAAGCAAAAAGCUGUGAAAUUGCUGACUGUACAGGAAAUAAGAUAUAGUGACUAUGUAUAAGAUUUCAACCAAUCAAGAAUGACCAACAUGGCUUUAGCGGAGCAAUCAGACCCCCUCCCCUUCGUAUUAGCAGUAUGUAUAUAAGACACUAUGUACGGAUGUGAGAGCUAGACAGUGAAGAAAGCUAAUGGAAAGAAAAUCAACUAAUUUGAGAUAUGGUUCUGGAGAAGAGUGCUGAGG
Long non-coding RNA from Sceloporus undulatus (fence lizard), 1192 nucleotides. RefSeq lists it as uncharacterized. NCBI's taxonomy places the organism in Eukaryota, Metazoa, Chordata, Lepidosauria, Squamata, Phrynosomatidae. The transcript has 4 exons. The record is from RefSeq and is a predicted model, not a curated record.